GUGGGGAAUAUUGGACAAUGGGCGAAAGCCUGAUCCAGCAAUGCCGCGUGAGUGAUGAAGGCCUUAGGGUUGUAAAGCUCUUUUACCCGGGAUGAUAAUGACAGUACCGGGAGAAUAAGCCCCGGCUAACUCCGUGCCAGCAGCCGCGGUAAUACGGAGGGGGCUAGCGUUGUUCGGAAUUACUGGGCGUAAAGCGCACGUAGGCGGCCGAAUAAGUCAGAGGUGAAAGCCUGGGGCUCAACCCCAGAACUGCCUUUGAGACUGUAUGGCUAGAACGUCGGAGAGGUGAGUGGAAUUCCGAGUGUAGAGGUGAAAUUCGUAGAUAUUCGGAAGAACACCAGUGGCGAAGGCGGCUCACUGGACGACUGUUGACGCUGAGGUGCGAAAGCGUGGGGAGCAAACAGG
This 405-nucleotide ribosomal RNA is filed under the name uncultured Sphingobium sp. Its description in RNAcentral is "bacterial SSU rRNA". It matches the Rfam family "Bacterial small subunit ribosomal RNA", at positions 354 to 776 of the family's 1533-position model. Lineage: Bacteria; Pseudomonadati; Pseudomonadota; Alphaproteobacteria; Sphingomonadales; Sphingobiaceae. The record is from RNAcentral.